This 277-nucleotide ribosomal RNA is filed under the name uncultured bacterium. Its description in RNAcentral is "partial 16S ribosomal RNA". It matches the Rfam family "Bacterial small subunit ribosomal RNA", at positions 28 to 298 of the family's 1533-position model. The record is from RNAcentral.
GACGAACGCUGGCGGCGUGCCUAACACAUGCAAGUGGAGCGACGAACCAGGCUUCGGCCUGGGGCAAAGCCGCGAACGGGUGAGUAACACGUGGGUAACCUGCCCCGAUGACCGGGACAACCCGAGGAAACUCGGGCUAAUACCGGAUGUGCCCUACGGCCAUAAGGCUGCUGGGGAAAGGAAGCUUCGGCCUCCGCAUCGGGAUGGGCCCGCGGCCCAUUAGCUUGUUGGUGAGGUAAUGGCUCACCAAGGCAAUGAUGGGUAGCUGGUCUGAGAG